GUACGGGAGGCAGCAGUAGGGAAUAUUGCACAAUGGGCGAAAGCCUGAUGCAGCAACGCCGCGUGCGCGAUGAAGGUCUUCGGAUCGUAAAGCGCUUUUCUGCGAGAUGAGAAAGGACAGUAUCGUAGGAAUAAGUCUCGGCUAACUACGUGCCAGCAGCCGCGGUAACACGUAGGAGGCGAGCGUUAUCCGGAUUCACUGGGCGUAAAGCGCGUGCAGGCGGUUCGGUAAGUUGGGCGUGAAAUCUCCCGGCUCAACUGGGAGAGGUCGUUCAAUACUACCGAACUUGAGAGCGAUAGAGGAAAAUGGAAUUCCAGGUGUAGUGGUGAAAUGCGUAGAUAUCUGGAGGAACACCAGUGGCGAAAGCGAUUUUCUGGAUCGUUUCUGACGCUCAGACGCGAAAGCUAGGGUAGCAAACGGGAUUAGAUACCCCGGU
This 436-nucleotide ribosomal RNA is filed under the name uncultured bacterium. Its description in RNAcentral is "bacterial SSU rRNA". It matches the Rfam family "Bacterial small subunit ribosomal RNA", at positions 339 to 791 of the family's 1533-position model. The record is from RNAcentral.